CUUGACGUCCUUGACUCAUGAAGUGUCAGCCCUGAAAUCAAAUUACGCUUUGUGAAAAUGCAAAUAUCUUUGCUGCAAACCAGCUUACUAGAAUACAAUUUAUGGUCUGUUGCACCUCAUUGCUGCAAAUUAGUUUACUAGGGAACACUUGUAUGCUCCUGUGUUUCUCUGUUAAACUAAACGUGAUCUUCCUUUCCUACCUUAAGGUGCAAAAAUGUGGAAUACUUCUUUGGAAUUAUCAUAUGGAAUACUUAUGGUUUGCAUGGAUAUAUAGCAAAGAUGAUCAACAAAUUUAAAGUGUCUUGUCAUGCAGUGAUGCUUUUGAUCCGGAUGAUGGGGAAUACCGCAGCAGGAGUAACAACCUAAAAGUACUGUUUUUGCUUUUAUGCACCAUCACACAAGAUGUUGAUAAAAAGGAAGACAUCAAAAAGGGUCUUGUGAGGUACAAAUGACACAUGACCAGUCCAGUGACGGCUAGCGCCAGGGUGGUGCGACUUUUACCGGUCCUGCAGUAGUAUACUAUGGCUGUCUUGUUGCGUUCAUACUCCUCACUGAAGCCGUGUUUCCGUAUCACAGUCAUCAAAUCAUCAAAGUCCUGAAGGGUAGGACAAACCUGCUCUGUGGGCGUGGUGUCGUACUGAAGAGGCACUCGGUAGUACUGCAUGUCGAGGGUCUGUAGCUUCUGAGUGUCGGCCAACUCAGACGGAGUCAGCACGCUGCUAAACUCCUGCUCAACAGGCUCGGCAGAUAGCUCGUUGUAUGUCUGGAAAACAACACAUUAAAUACACUAGCUUGUUUUAUGUCUGGAAAACAACACAUUAAAUACACUAGCUUGUUUUAUGUCUGGAAAACAACACAUCUAAUAAACUAGCUUGUUGUAUGUCUGGAGAGCUAUACAAAUAAAUUAUAGUUUGUAUUAUGUCUAACAAUAAAUCAUCAUUACAUGUA
Long non-coding RNA from Magallana angulata, 948 nucleotides. RefSeq lists it as uncharacterized. Lineage: Eukaryota; Metazoa; Mollusca; Bivalvia; Ostreida; Ostreidae. The transcript is spliced from 5 exons. The record is from RefSeq and is a predicted model, not a curated record.